Molecule: ribosomal RNA, 496 nt
Filed under: uncultured bacterium
Lineage: Bacteria
Description: partial 16S ribosomal RNA
Rfam family: Bacterial small subunit ribosomal RNA
Source: RNAcentral
GAUGAACGCUGGCGGCGUGCCUAAUACAUGCAAGUCGAGCGAACAGACGAGGAGCUUGCUCCUCUGACGUUAGCGGCGGACGGGUGAGUAACACGUGGAUAACCUACCUAUAAGACUGGGAUAACUUCGGGAAACCGGAGCUAAUACCGGAUAAUAUAUUGAACCGCAUGGUUCAAUAGUGAAAGACGGUUUUGCUGUCACUUAUAGAUGGAUCCGCGCCGCAUUAGCUAGUUGGUAAGGUAACGGCUUACCAAGGCAACGAUGCGUAGCCGACCUAGAGGGUGAUCGGCCACACUGGAACUGAGACACGGUCCAGACUCCUACGGGAGGCAGCAGUAGGGAAUCUUCCGCAAUGGGCGAAAGCCUGACGGAGCAACGCCGCGUGAGUGAUGAAGGUCUUCGGAUCGUAAAACUCUGUUAUUAGGGAAGAACAAAUGUGUAAGUAACUAUGCACGUCUUGACGGUACCUAAUCAGAAAGCCACGGCUAACUACGUG